UUUAAAUGAUGAUGGUACUAUACCAGUUCUGCUACUGAAUAAUAAUGAAGAUAGCAUAAAUACCAAUUAGCUGAAAA
This is a small nucleolar RNA of Drosophila hydei, 77 nucleotides long. The record is from RefSeq and is a predicted model, not a curated record. Lineage: Eukaryota; Metazoa; Arthropoda; Insecta; Diptera; Drosophilidae.